This is an RNA transcript of Populus trichocarpa (black cottonwood), 2770 nucleotides long. RefSeq lists it as uncharacterized. The transcript has 3 exons. The record is from RefSeq and is a predicted model, not a curated record. Lineage: Eukaryota; Viridiplantae; Streptophyta; Magnoliopsida; Malpighiales; Salicaceae.
CAAAGUAUAAUUCGGUUCUUUGAACCUGCUUAAAACUUUUUGGAUGCAAACUGGACGCAUAGUAGUAGCAUCGUAAACAAUGACACCUCGAGAAAGACAGGAGGGAGGUUUCUGAGAUCUAAAGUCCUGGAUUCUCGACCUGGUUUUGGGACAACAUACUCUCUUGCUUCACGGUUUUUUUUUUUCCCUUAUCGCAGAUAAGUGGCUUUGCUUCUGAUAAAACUUAAGCGUGGCUUUCUUUUUUGUCUUGUUUUGUUGUUCUUGAAUGCCCCGGUGCUUUUUUAUUUCAUUAUUUUGAAAUUUGGAAGUGGUUAUCUUGAUGAGUAUUUCAGUUUUUGUCUGAAGUUUUUGAGUUCUGGAGAUGGGUUUAUGAUUCUGUUUGGCUUCUGCGAAUUGAAGAUGCGUGCUUGAUGAUCUAGGUAGUUAAAGAAGGCAAAAAUAAGAAUUGGGUUUGCUUUAUUUUGGCUUCCUCUAGGUGAAAACCAUUUACUGUUAUCAAUUAUUUUUUUUGCAUAGCCAAGGUGGUGAUUCAAAAGGGGGCAAUGGUUUUAUAGUUGCGAUCUAAAUUGUUGUCGAAAAAAACAUGGAAGGGAAUUUGUCACAAGGAGGUAUGAUUCCAGGCGGGGCUCCUUUUGGAGGCCUUGACUUGCAAGGAUCAAUGAGAGUUCAUCAUCAAGCACAGCAUCCACACACUAUGCACCACCACCAGCACCCUCUCCAUCGGCAAGGAUCUUCAACCCUCACCUCAGUUGAAGAAGGUUUUCCACUCACGAUGGGGUUCAUGCACAACUCUGAUCAAAACAUUUCCAUGAAUGAUUACAAUAAAGGAGACAGGGGAAAAAAUUCAGUCAGUGAUGAAGAUGAGCCAAGCUAUACUGAAGAAGGAGCUGAUGGUCACAAUGAUGCAAUCACAGGGAAAAAGGGGACGCCGUGGCAGCGUGUUAAGUGGACUGAUAAGAUGGUUAGGCUCUUGAUAACUGCCGUGUCUUAUAUAGGUGAGGACGGGACUUCAGAUUGUGGUGGUGGGAUGCGUAGGAAAUUCACAGUUUUGCAGAAAAAGGGAAAGUGGAAAUCAGUUUCAAAAGUCAUGGCUGAAAGGGGCUUCCAUGUUUCUCCACAGCAGUGUGAGGAUAAAUUCAAUGACCUUAAUAAAAGGUAUAAAAGGCUCAAUGAUAUGCUUGGGAGGGGCACUUCUUGUCAGGUUGUGGAAAACCCUGCACUUUUGGAUGUUAUAGAUUAUUUAACAGAAAAGGAGAAAGAUGAUGUCAGGAAGAUAUUAAACUCAAAGCAUCUUUUCUAUGAAGAAAUGUGUUCCUAUCACAAUGGAAAUAGGUUGCACCUGCCUCAUGAUCCAGCUUUGCAGCGUUCCUUACAGUUGGCUCUAAGAAGUAGAGAUGAUCAUGAUAAUGAUGAUGCUAGGAGGCACCAACAUGAUGAUCUUGAUGAAGAUGAUCAAGAGAUUGAAACUGAUGAUCAUGAUGAAUUUGAGGAGAAUCAUGCUUCACAUGGGGAUUGCAGGGGCAUACAUGGGGUGUUAGGGGGUUCUGCAAAGAGGCCCAGACAAGGCCAGGGCCAUGAAGAUGCUUGUUUUUGGAAUUCAUCUCAGGAGCCUAAUAAAGGGUCUUCUUCUUAUCAUCCACAGGCUGCCCAGGUUGAUAUGAAUCAAGUCUCACCUGAAAGUUCAAAAGCAGUUUGGUUGCAGAAGCAGUGGAUGGAAUCCCGCACCCUUCAGUUAGAAGAACGGAAGCUACAAAUUCAACAAGAGAUGUUGGAAUUGGAAAAACAGCGAUUUAAGUGGCAAAGAUUUAGCAAGAAAAGAGACCGUGAACUAGAAAAGUUGAGGAUGGAAAAUGAGAGGAUAAAACUUGAGAAUGAGCAGAUGGCAUUAGAGUUGAAACGCAAGGAAAUGGGCGCUGAUUUUAAUUGAUUGUCUGGUCCUGUUGAUUUCGUUCAUCAUAACAACUGGACUUGCAAGCAAAUCAAUUUUGUGUUUAUGAGCAUGCACUUUAUCUUCUUCAGGCUUAGAGAGAAAAAAGACUUUUCACUCUGGGAGAAGCCAGAGGGUGCAGGGCCUGACCUUGUUGCAGAUGGUGUCUAGUCUUGCUUGAUACCUGCAGAUUAUGCUUUAAUGGUUCACCAAGUGCUUGCAAGGAAGAUAUGUCAAAUGAUUCUGGAGGAUUAUCAAGUAAAAUCUUGUUCUCGCCACAUUUUUAUUUCUAAUGAUUAACAUUUUCUUAUCCACAUCAGGUGCCGCGUGCCUUCUUUCCGGUAGUGCCUUUCUAUUCAGAGGAAAGGAUAUUUUGGAAUGGCUUGAGGCUUUCAAAUGUUUCGAUACUAGAGUUCCUUAAGACCUCGAAUCUUGAUGUUUUUUUCUUCGCCAGAUCUUUCAAACUUGGACUUUUUUCAAUGCUCAACUAUGGCAGAGUAUUGGUUGCUUUGUAAAUAGAAUUAGUUUCACGGCCUUUUUCUUAAUGGAAGUUUAAUGGUAGCAUUCCACUAGGCCAAUGCAAUGAUAGACCAUUAACUGCAGCUUUCAUCUAGCUGUUUCAAAUGUUCACCCGGGAAACAUUACUACUAUGACCCACUACUGUUUUGCUAUGAACUGCAACUAGUAGUUGUAUGGUCUUUUCAUGGCUUAAAGAUUGACAAUAACUUCGGUUUAUCUUGUGCAAUCAGACGUAUGGAGAUGGACGUCUUAAUGAGUUGUAAACAGAUGAAAAUGAAUAGCAGUGCUCUUAGCAUGGCAGCCAAGCUCUGCCUUUCUUCAAAA